UUCGAUUAAGCCAUGCGAGUCGAGAGUCUUAGGGACUCGGCGUACCGCUCAGUAACACGUGGGUAACCUGCCCUGUGCUGGGGAAUAACCUCGGGAAACUGAGAAUAAUGCCCCAUAGUUCACCACGCCUGGAACGGUGGGUGGAUCAAAGCUCCGGCGGCACAGGAUGGGCCUGCGGCGUAUCAGGUCGUAGGGGGUGUAACGUACCCUCUAGCCUUCAACGCGUACGGGUUGUGGGAGCAAUCGCCCGGAGAUGGAUUCUGAGACACGAAUCCAGACCCUACGGGGUGCAGCAGGCGCGAAAACUUCACACUGCAGGAAACUGUGAUGAGGGAAUUCCAAGUGGCUAGACAAAGUCUAGUCUUUUUGUAACUUUUAAUCGGUUACAGAAUAAGGGGUGGGAAAGACCGGUGCCAGCCGCCGCGGUAAUACCGGCACCUCAAGUGGUCGUCGCUUUUAUUGGGCCUAAAACGUCCGUCGCCUGUUUGGUACAUUCGUGGGUAAAUCAACCAGCUCAACUGGUUGAAUUCUGCGAGGACGGCCAGACUAGGGACCGGGAGAGGUAUGGGGUACUCUCAGGGUAGGGGUAAAAUCCAGUCAUCCUGAGGGGACCACCUGUUGCGAAGGCGCCAUACUAGAACGGAUCCGACGGUCAGGGACGAAGCCUAGGGGCACGAACCGGAUUAGAUACCCGGGUAGUCCUAGGUGUAAACGCUGUGGACUUGGUGUUGGGGAUUCUACGAGUAUCCCCAGUGCCGGAGUGAAGAUGUUAAGUCCACUGCCUGGGGAGUACGGUCGCAAGGCUGAAACUUAAAGGAAUUGGCGGGGGAGCACAGCAACGAGAGGAGCGUGCG
RNAcentral lists this ribosomal RNA (854 nucleotides) under uncultured archaeon. RNAcentral describes it as "bacterial SSU rRNA". It matches the Rfam family "Archaeal small subunit ribosomal RNA", at positions 39 to 899 of the family's 1478-position model. The record is from RNAcentral.